Brachypodium distachyon (stiff brome) is the source of this 1033-nucleotide RNA transcript. RefSeq lists it as uncharacterized. The record is from RefSeq and is a predicted model, not a curated record. Lineage: Eukaryota; Viridiplantae; Streptophyta; Magnoliopsida; Poales; Poaceae. The transcript has 5 exons.
CCCAACUGCUGCGCUAGCACCUGCUCAGCCCAGGCACGUUCGUCUUCUACCUCCGUUCGUUGCCUUAGCACGCACGCACGCACUCCUCGUGGCCGGCGGCGGCUUGACUUCCACCAAACCGAGUAUUCCUCUUCGAAUUGAUGCUGUGUAAUUAAUCUGUCGAGAUUCAGGCCAUAAUAGAAGUACCUCACUGCCUGAUUUUUCCUUUUUUUCCACGUCGCCUGCCUUUUAUUUUGCCUGCUCGACUGUUCGUCCGCCGCACCAUCUGUUCCGUCGUCACGCACCAUCCUCUCUCGACCACAAAUGAAGCCACUAAUGCUCAAAAAACAGCAUUCAUCCACCAUUAUUACUUGGCACAGAAACUGCUCGGGUUAACUUAGUCGUGACCUUCUUCAUCGUUUUAACCACUGCCCUUACCACCUGCUCGUCUGCUAUAAUCACCCUUUCUGGUACCGGCCUUCUUCCUGGAUUUGCUUCAUUUCUCUGUGUUGCUCGCUCAAAUUAGGAAAGGCAGCUAUCACAGCGAAGAUUUUGCAUGCUGCAUGCUCGACAGCUCGAUCUGCUUGCAUCGGCAAUCUGCGUGCUUUUACGAAUACGGAUAGCACUGAGAAUUCUUUGAGGGAUCCUAACAUCAUUCAGUCCUACGCAGACACGGACGGCCACGCGGUCAGCCACAACCUAUUCUCACCCUUGAAACCAAUUGUCAGUGCACAAGAUGACUCCAACAAUAAUAGACCUCCCUUCCCCCAACCUACAGCUAUUGACAACAGGGAAAUAAACUCGGCAAGUCUGGAGCAAAACGAAGCCUUCAGUGUAUGGGACAUGGUACGACCAACGGAGGAAGUGUCACUGCUCUUUGCUGUCGAGGGUGGCUCCAUGGAGCUACUGGCUAUAUGUGCUCUUGUGUUCUAUAAGUUUAAGUUGCUCCUGUGUGCCUAAAACUAAAAGGGAUACACGCAACACAAUCAAAUGAAUGUUGGUUAAUUUACUAGCAGUGAUAUUGUUCUCUUAAUAAAUUAUGAAGGUUCUAAAC